This 1748-nucleotide unclassified non-coding RNA is filed under the name Hevea brasiliensis (rubber tree). Lineage: Eukaryota; Viridiplantae; Streptophyta; Magnoliopsida; Malpighiales; Euphorbiaceae. The record is from RNAcentral.
UCAAAAACAAUUUUAAUACCACCAAACUAAAAAUCACUGGAUGAAAAGACCAACUUUGAAUAUCAUAUUUGAGCAAUUGCAACAUGAAAAUGAACUCCAAGCAAAAGAUGACAAUCAAACCUUAUAACAACUCAACAAUCGUAUUACCUCAAAAAAAAAAAAAAAAAAAUCUUCACAUCAAACUGUUGUAGGUUCUAUUCAAAGUUUGCAGCACAUGAUAACAAGUUCCUAAUAUUAUUCAUCUUAGCAACUUCUAUUCCAAUAUGUACUUUCUUUGAGAGAUGAAAAUCCUUCUGUCUGAUCUAGUGACUUUUAUACCAAGGAAGUACCUUAAUCUACCUAGGUCUUUAAUCUCAAAUUCCAAAGCCAAGUGCUCUUUUAGAUGAGCAAUCUCUUCCUUAUCAUCUUUUGCUAUAACUAUAUCAUCAACAUAGACAAUAAACAGGGUGAUCUUACCUUUCCGGUGUUUCAUGAAUGGGAUAUGAUCAACAUUGCUUUAAUAGAAAACCAAGGAAAUCAUGGUCUUACUAAUACUAAAUUUAUCAAACCAUGCUUUUGGUGAUUGCUUCAAACCAUAUAGUGCUUUCUUCAAUCUACAGAACUUUGGUUUUUUUCAUCCUCAAAUCCUGGAGGGAUUUUCAUGUAUAUCUCUUCUUCUAAAUCUCCAUGCAAUAAAGCAUUCUUCUUAUUAAACUGUUGUAGGUCCUAUUCAAGGUUUGUAGCACAUCAUAGCAAGAUUCUAAUAGUAUUCAUCUUAGCAACAUGUGCAAAAGUCUCCUGAUAAUCCACCUCAAAUGUUUGAGUAAAGUCUUUUGCCACUAGCCUGACCUUAUAUCUUUAAAUGGAAUCAUCUAUUUUAUGCUUUAUGGUAAACACCCAUUUACAUACAACUAGUUUAUUUCCAAAAGAAUAGUAACAAGAUCCCAUGUCUCAUUUUUAGCUAAAGCCUUGAUCUCCUCUUUCAUAUUUGCCUUCAAUUUUGGAUCAAGAUGUGCUUGCUUCCAAUCUUGUGGGAUAGUAAUAGAAGAAACAGUAAGACAAAGACUCUAUAGGAAGAAGACAAGCAGUUAUAGGAAAUAAAAUUAGAAAUGGGAUGCUUAAUACAAGCUCUGACUCCUUUUCUGAGAGUAAUGAAAACAUCAAGAUCAUCAAUAGUAAAAUUUGAAUUAAACUCAAAAACAUAAAACAUAAUUAGGAUCAUUGGGAAUUAAAGAAGACUCACCAUAUUUUUCAGGAACUGAUUCUAGGAAUGCUAGUUAAUCAGGUGUAUCAAGCUCAAUGGUUGUGUUUGUCUUAUUCCGAUGUAUUUAGGUUCUCAAAUCCAAUCUAUUUAAUCUCCCUGAGGUUUGAGAAAGUGGUUGGUCUUGAUUAGAUGGCUCAUUACUAAGGUGUGACCCAAGCCUAAUAGUUUUCCCCUGAGGUGGUUGAUUCUGGUUAGGUGGCUCAGUACCAAGGUAUGACUCAAGUCUGAUAACCUGUUUAGGAAAAAACACCUCUUUCUUUUCCUCUUUAUAUUCUCUCUGAAGGGGUGACUUGACAAGGAAAUAAGGCUCAUAUUUUCUAAAGGUAACAUUCAUACUGAUAAAAUAUUUUCUAGUAGGAGGAUGAUAACAUUUAUAGCCAUUUUGAGUACUAGAAUAAUCUACAAAUACACAUUUAAGAGCUCUAAGUUCUAACUUCUCAAAUUUUGUUUUGCAGACUAAACAGCAUCCAAAAAUCUUUGAAAGGACAGUAUAAGAAUUAUAAUA